Molecule: long non-coding RNA, 2602 nt
Filed under: Homo sapiens (human)
Lineage: Eukaryota; Metazoa; Chordata; Mammalia; Primates; Hominidae
Description: non-protein coding lnc-PAQR3-1:4
Source: RNAcentral
AGUGCCCCGGGCGUCCCGCCGCCUCACUAAGCGCCUGGAGCGCGAGCCGGGGUAGAGGAAGAGAGCGAAAGAGGCUGGGCGGCCGGCCCCUCCAGGGAGUGGGCUAGACGUCUCAGGCCACAAACCCGCAGGACCGCAGCCCGUCGCGCCGCCGCCGCCCCGGCCGAACCCGCGCCGCCCGCCACUCGUGGCCGUUGGCGGGGGGGGGGGGGGGGCGCUGCUGCCAACCGCUCACUGAGGCCGGGCGACCCGCGCAGGCGCGCUGCCCGCGCCGCCGGAAGUGACGGUUCCGGCUCUUGUCACGUGGAGGGGGACCAAGGGAGGUGAUUGUGGGGGUUGGGGACUAGGGCAAAGUCGGGGGUCCCGGGUCCGGGGUUGCGCCGGGAGGGUACUGGCCAGGCCCGACUUCAAGCAGGGAGGUGGCCCGGGACUGGCUCCCGCGCUGGUCACGCACCGGGGUCCGUCAUCUCGACCGGGAGUCGCUGUGCCACUCUAGGGGCUUAAAAAUGCCGCCAACAACUUUACCCCUGCUGAGGAACUUCUCGCUUCGUUUCUUAGCCAGUUUUCCAGGCCUUCUCCCUUGAGAGUCUCCUUCCGCUCGCCCACCCUGAGCGUAGGAGGUGGGAGCAGGACGGAACUGGAGUGGAUUCCAGUAACUGGACUUCUAAACCGGCUCGGUGUCGUCGCGCUCUGUAGCGGACGCUUGUGCUGGGAAGCGUUUUGCAGUUUAUAAAUUACUUAGGAGUACUUUAAACAUCUCACGCCUGCUGUACCACAGCCAUGUGGGGGUAUUCAGAACAGGUAUUAAGGUCGUUUUGCAGACCAUUCAUCACUCUUGGCUAAAAGAACUUAACGGAGUCGCCCAAGGUCACACAGCUGGCUCGUGGUAAUUGGGGACCAUUCUUUGAUUCAUAAUUUUGUGCUUUUGGCCACCCUGAAAAAGUAAGGUCAGAUCGUUGAAAAACGGGCAGAUUUAAGGCUGUUUGGAAGCAAAAGCGACCACUGCGUUCCCCUCAAAUCAAAGAGAUUUGCACCCCCUACCAAAAAAAAAAAAAAAAAAAAAAGCCCUGUUGUAUCAAUUUCAUAAACUGCAGGAGUCUCCCGACUGCAGGGUGAAGCAACAAAAUAAAUAUGGGUGUAAAACAUUCAGGAGUGGUAGGGAAUGGCAAACUGUAGAGCCUGUGUAAAGAGAGCAGCCAAUUCUCAGCUCCAGCCUACUUUUCCACAAAAGAAGAUAGGCACACACACUGUGCCCAGAGGUUCCAGUUUCUUAAGAGAACCAAAAACCUGGAACUGUUUUCUAAUGUGGCAUUUCCCUAAUUUUUAAAAUAUAGAUCAAAUAAAUUGUAUCUGCAGGACUCCAGUAUGCACCUUCUAUGAAAGUAGAUGAAUGUGGUUCUAUCCCCACCCCUAUUUCUUUAUUCUUUUUAAUGAGAUAACGGGUAGAAACAUUAGAAAAUGUGCUUAGACAAAAACUUUGAACUUAAAAUCCUUGUUCUUUCUUCCCUGCUAUUUGAAGAGAAGCUAUUUCUGCCAACACUAAAAUAGUGCUCUGGAUUUAGGCAUUUCUGCUACAUAACCCACUAAACUAAAAUUCUUCAUCCAGAGACCUGACGUUUAAAGUAGAUUCCAGCUUAGUGGAAGUGAGAUUAUAUGUCAGAUGAUUGAUGUGGUGUGGCAGUUGGGGAUUUCCAUUUAGAAACAAGCUGACCACUUUCGUUGCUGUGGGGCUUCAUUGUGGAGUCUCAUUCCUAAAUUUGAAUUGUUUUUUAAGCAGAAUAAUGGAAAGAUUAAGUCAUUUCAUGCAAUUCAAAACUGGAGUCAGACAAACAUACAAAGUUUGGGCCUGAUAUAACUUCACCUGAUCACAACAAGCCUGCUAUAAUAAGUUUCAAAGUUAGUUUACGAGGAUCACUUGAGGCCAGGAGUUCAAAACCAGCAUGGUCAACAUAACAAGACCUCAUCUCUUUAAAAAAAAAAAAAAAAAAAAUUAAAAAUUAGCCAGGUAUGGUGGUGGUGCACCUGUAAUCCCAGCUACUCAGGAGGCUGAGGCAGGAGGAUCGCUUGAACCAAGGAGUUCAAGGCUGCAGUGCGCUAUGAUGGCACUGGUGCACUCCAGGCUGGGUGUCUCUUAAAAACAAACAAAAGUUUGACCAGUCAAAGUGGCUUGCACCUAUAAUCCCAGCACUUUGGGAAGCCGAGGUGGGUGGAUUGCUUGAACUCAGGAGUUCAAGACCAACCUGGGCAAUAUGGUGAGACCUUCCAUCUCUAUCAAAAAUACAAAAAUUAGCUGGGCUUGGUGGGGUGGCGCAGGCCUGUGGUCCCUGCUACUUGGGAAGCUGAGGUGCGUGGAUCACUGGAGCCAAGGAAGUCGAGGCUGCAGUGAGCCAUGAUAGCAUCAGCUGCACUCCAGCCUGGACAACAGAGGAAGACACUGUCUCUAAGUAAAUAAAUAAGUCAAUUUACAAUUAAUGUGGUAAAGAUUACUUGUAUGUACCAAUGUAACUUGACUUUUGAUAUUGAAAUGUAUAAUUAUAAUAAAUGUAUAAUUAAAUGUGUAAUAAUGUAUAGACCCCCUCUGAAAGACGAGGGUAACACCAAG